UGGAAGUGAAACUAACUCAAAACCUUCAUGUAGUAUUUUCAUCUGUGAAACUCCACAUUGAUGGAUGAUAUAUUACACCGUAGCAGCACUUUGUAUACUUUAGUCAACUGUCUCUUAUUGUAUUGUGUUUGGCACAAGGUGGAAGAUGCAGUAUGUAGUGUUUAACUCUCAUGCAUUACUAUAAAAACAGUGAAUAUUUAACCUGAA
This is a long non-coding RNA of Sebastes umbrosus (honeycomb rockfish), 207 nucleotides long. RefSeq lists it as uncharacterized. The transcript has 3 exons. Lineage: Eukaryota; Metazoa; Chordata; Actinopteri; Perciformes; Sebastidae. The record is from RefSeq and is a predicted model, not a curated record.